UGCUGCAUCGUGGGAGAGCUCGACUGAAGGUCGGCGCCGAAGGAGCAACCGCCCCGGAAACUCUCAGGCAAAAGGACCGCGGUGCGUUU
RNAcentral lists this non-coding RNA (89 nucleotides) under Erythrobacter sp. RNAcentral's name for it is "Glycine sequence". It matches the Rfam family "Glycine riboswitch aptamer". Rfam says of the family: This family represents the bacterial glycine riboswitch. Glycine riboswitches usually consist of two metabolite-binding aptamers domains with similar structures in tandem. The aptamers cooperatively bind glycine to regulate the expression of downstream genes. Lineage: Bacteria; Pseudomonadati; Pseudomonadota; Alphaproteobacteria; Sphingomonadales; Erythrobacteraceae. The record is from RNAcentral.